This 29-nucleotide non-coding RNA is filed under the name Homo sapiens (human). Lineage: Eukaryota; Metazoa; Chordata; Mammalia; Primates; Hominidae. The record is from RNAcentral.
UGGCCAGUCAUCCAGGUCCAGAGAUCAGA